Populus trichocarpa (black cottonwood) is the source of this 2584-nucleotide long non-coding RNA. RefSeq lists it as uncharacterized. The transcript is spliced from 2 exons. The record is from RefSeq and is a predicted model, not a curated record. Lineage: Eukaryota; Viridiplantae; Streptophyta; Magnoliopsida; Malpighiales; Salicaceae.
UAUUAUAGUCUUAAAAAAUGUUGACGUUCUAAAAAAGUAUUUUCCCUUAUAUAAAAGAGACAUAAGAUUGUAUAUUUGCUUUCCUUUGGAGAUAUAUGUUGUAAGAUUCUUUUUUCAUGUGCACUUUCCUAUAAUAAAUAUAAUUUUCUUAAUUUAUAAUUAUUUACGAGUUAAGAUGGAUUUAACUACUUUUUUUCAAUAAAAUAAAAAGAAAAUACAAAGGUAUUAUAGUCUUCACAAAUGUUAACAUUCUAAAGAAGCCCUUUCCUCAUCCUCUCCAAAAAAUAUAAUAAUCUCCUCAAAGCCCCUUCAUAUAAUUUUAUCAGGGACUGUAAUCCAAUUCCGUGCUCCUAGCAGGUUCAUUCCCGACCAUUAAUGGGGACGAUGCCCAUUUACCCCUCAUGUUUCGUGUGUUUAGCCUUCCUCUCAUUUCUUUUCAUGUUCUUGAACAAAGUAUGGUGGACUCCAGUCCGCAUACAGUCUAUGAUGAGGUCACAAGGAAUCAAAUGCCCUUCUUACAAAUUCAUCCAUGGAAACUCCAAAGAGAUUACCAAUAUGAGAACGAGUGUCGUGAGCUUUCCAUUGGAUUUAUCACAUGUUCAUGAGUUGCUCCCCAGAGUACAGCCACACAUUCACGCAUGGAUCAAGCUAUAUGGGAUGAAUUUUCUGUUCUGGCAAGGUCCUCACGCCCUGCUUGUUGUGACGGAACCUGAUCUGAUUAAACAAGUCCUUAACAAUAAAAACGGAGAAUUCCGAAAGAGAGACCCUACAUUUUACAUAUGAAGAAGCUAUUGGGGGGUGGAAGUGUAGCAAGCAAGGGUGAAAAACGGUUCAAGCUGCAAAAAAUAUCGAACCAUGCUUUCCAUGCAGGGUGCUUGAAAGCAGUGCUAUUUUUAUUUUCAGUUUUCAUAAUUGUUUUCGAAGUUCUUACAGAUUAAAACAACUCAUAUAGAUCAAAGAAUUUCUCUUCUUUCACAGAACAUGAUUCCGGCAUUCAUUGCCAGUGUCGAGGUGAUGCUAGAAAGAUGGAGACAGCACGAUGGCAAGGAGAUUGAGUUGUCUCAUGAGUUUAAGAUUUUGACAUCAGAAAUGAUUUCCAGGACAGCUUUUGGAAGCAGCUACCUGGAAGGACAACAUAUAUUUGACAUGUUGGAAACAAUGGUUGACAUUGUUGUCAGGAACAAUUUUAAAAUGACAAUUCCUGUAAUCGGGUACGGUUCCUACCUUACUCCAAUUCCUUCAUAUCCAUUUGUGCCUUGUUAAAUGUGGUGGCCAUAGACAGAAGUUGUAAUUGGUUUGCAAAUCUAUUGAUCUACCUUCUAUAAGUGCAGAACCUUUCUGACUUCUGAAUUAUCGCUUCCAGAAAAUUUGUGAAAUUAAGUGCUGAUGACAUUGAAUCAGACAAGCUUCAGCAAGACAUAAGCAAUUGCUUCCUAAAUAUGAUUAAUAGCAGAGAGAAAGCAGCCAUGGAGGGCAAAUGGGAUGGCUUGGAAGUGAUUUUCUUGGAUUACUGUUGUCGGCUCGUCAUGACACCGAUAAGGCAAAAGGAAUAUCUGUUGAAGACGUGAUUGAUGAAUGCAAAUCCUUCUAUGCUGGUGGGACAUGAAACAAUUACCAGAGCCUCACUCGCCUGGACUUUUCUUCUUCUGGCAAUUUACACAGAUUGGCAAGAUAAAGCAAGGAAGGAGGUCCUCUAAUUGUUUGGUCUGCAAAAUCCAAGCCCAGAAGGCAUCACAAAAUUGAAGAUUGUAAGCACAACAUCUUUUAGCAAAAAAUCUCGGUGGCAUUGCUCGAGGAAAUGCCAUGCGUCCUCGCUACAUUUCUGUCCUGCAUUUAUAUAUAUUUACCAACAUAGAGAAUUUGAACAAGUAUAUUAUUGCUAAGAUUCUGCGUAUUAAUUUUCAGCUGAUCAACAUCCAAGUUUUCACUCAUUUCUUCCUGUAGGUAAGCAUGAUUAUCAAUGAAUCUCUACGAUUAUAUUGUCCUGCUGUUCAGAUCGCAAGGAUAGUCCACAAGGAAGUAAGAUUGGGGACGUUUAUUCUUCCAGCGAACACGGAAAUCGUUGUUCCAAUUGGCGCAGUUCACCAUAGCCCUGGAAUAUGGGGAGAAGAUGCUAGCCAUUUCAAGCCAGAGAGAUUUGCAGAUGGAGUUGCUAAAACAACAACGUGGCUGCAUUUCUUGAAUUUGGAAUGAGGGCUCGGAAUUGUGUGGGGUCAAACUUCUCAAUUACUGAAACAAAGAUUGCGCUCGCAAUGAUCCUGCAGCGUUACAGGUUUACUUUUAUCUCCAACGUACGUCCACUCAACCUCUUUCAAUGUCCCCGCUACAUGGAGUACAAGUCAUGCUCGAGGCCUUGUAAAUCCCCACCGUAUUGGAUGUGAGGAAAAUUGGGGGAGGAGGAGCAGGAAGUACGGUGGAAAUAUCAUGCUGCUCUUGUAGAAGAGAAAUCAGAUUACUCUCAACGCAUCUUUGUCCUAGUCUAAAAUAAAUAUAUAAAAUGGAUGUCAAAGAAGUCAAUUGAAAUGUGCCACAUGCUUAAUGCAUCUCCCAUGAACCCCUUGACGGUGUUAGAGAUGGAAACAAA